GGGACUAGUCCUGCAGGUUUAAACGAAUUCGCCCUUAGAGUUUGAUCCUGGCUCAGGAUGAACGCUAGCGGCAGGCCUAAUACAUGCAAGUCGAACGGUAAGGACUCGCUUGCGAGUCACACGAGUGGCGCACGGGUGCGUAACGCGUAUGCAACCUACCUUCAACUGGAGAAUAGCCCCNAGAAAUCGUGAUUAAUACUCCAUAAUAUCCAUUUAUCUCAUGUUAGUUGGAUUAAAGUUCCGGCGGUUGAAGAUGGGCAUGCGUGACAUUAGUUUGUUGGUGAGGUAACGGCUCACCAAGACUACNAUGUCUAGGGGUUCUGAGAGGAUUUUCCCCCACACUGGUACUGAGACACGGACCAGACUCCUACGGGAGGCAGCAGUAAGGAAUAUUGGGCAAUGGACGAAAGUCUGACCCAGCCAUGCAGCGUGCAGGAUGACAGCCCUACGGGUUGUAAACUGCUUUUAUACGGGAAGAAUCCCCUGUACGUGUACAGGGUUGACGGUACCGUACGAAUAAGCAUCGGCUAACUCCGUGCCAGCAGCCGCGGUAAUACGGAGGAUGCAAGCGUUAUCCGGAUUCAUUGGGUUUAAAGGGUGCGUAGGCGGAAUGGUAAGUUAGUGGUGAAAUCCCCCGGCUCAACCGGGGAACUGCCAUUAAUACUGCCGUUCUUGAGUAUAGUUGAAGUGGGCGGAAUGUAUCAUGUAGCGGUGAAAUGCUUAGAUAUGAUACAGAACACCAAUAGCGUAGGCAGCUCACUAAACUAUAACUGACGCUCAGGCACGAAAGCGUGGGGAGCAAACAGGAUUAGAUACCCUGGUAGUCCACGCCGUAAACGAUGAUCACUCGCUGUUGGCGAUACACAGUCAGCGGUAAAGGGAAACCAUUAAGUGAUCCACCUGGGGAGUACGGUCGCAAGAUUGAAACUCAAAGGAAUUGACGGGGGCCCGCACAAGCGGAGGAGCAUGUGGUUUAAUUCGAUGAUACGCGAGGAACCUUACCUGGGCUUAAAUGUUGGACGACUGUCCCCGAAAGGGGACUUUCCUUCGGGACGUCUAGCAAGGUGCUGCAUGGUUGUCGUCAGCUCGUGCCGUGAGGUGUCGGGUUAAGUCCCAUAACGAGCGCAACCCCUAUCCUUAGUUGCCAUCAGGUAAUGCUGGGGACUCUAAGGAAACUGCCUACGCAAGUAGCGAGGAAGGUGGGGAUGACGUCAAAUCAGCACGGCCCUUAUGUCCAGGGCUACACACGUGCUACAGUGGCCGGUACAGAGGGCAGCUACCUGGUGACAGGAUGCUAAUCUCGAAAACCGGUCUCAGUUCGGAUCGAAGUCUGCAACUCGACUUCGUGAAGUUGGAUUCGCUAGUAAUCGCACAUCAGCCAUGGCGCGGUGAAUACGUUCCCGGGCCUUGUACACACCGCCCGUCAAGCCAUGGAAGCUGGGAGUACCUAAAGUCCGUAACCGCAAGGAGCGGCCUAGGGUAAAACUAGUAACUGGGGCUAAGUCGUAACAAGGUAAAGGGCGAAUUCGCGGCCGCUAAA
RNAcentral lists this ribosomal RNA (1540 nucleotides) under uncultured bacterium. Its description in RNAcentral is "partial 16S ribosomal RNA". It matches the Rfam family "Bacterial small subunit ribosomal RNA". The record is from RNAcentral.